AAGUCGUAACAAGGUUUCCGUAGGUGAACCUGCGGAAGGAUCAUUAAAAACCCAGUAGCAAAAAAUCUACAUCCCACCUGUGCACUUAUUGAAAGGACAAACUUUUUUUCUCUCUGAUUCCUAUCUUGUAUAGGGUCAGCAGUAGAAAAACCUCUCUUGCCUGUUAUUUUGACUGAACUUUUUAAAAAAAAUUAAAUACAACUUUCAACAACGGAUCUCUUGGCUCUCG
RNAcentral lists this unclassified non-coding RNA (229 nucleotides) under fungal sp. RNAcentral's name for it is "partial internal transcribed spacer region". The stretch from base 1 to 46 matches the Rfam family "Eukaryotic small subunit ribosomal RNA", at positions 1786 to 1831 of the family's 1831-position model. The record is from RNAcentral. Lineage: Eukaryota; Fungi.